AUUUUCGGUCCCUGUCACUCGUCUGGAUUCUCUUCCAUGAGCUUGCAGAUAAGUUUCCCCAGUGUGGCUGAGCUACGGUGCAAAAGACGCUCGAAGACACAGGGAGCAUUCAGGCGAAGACUACUUAUCCUAUAAGCUGCCAAAACACACCGAACGCUGGAAAUUGAGACAACAAAGAGAUGUAUCUCUGCGGUCCAAAUGUUUUUGUGAAAAGGAAAAAAGAGAGCAGAGUGUAUGAACGAGUGAACUCCAUCUGUCCACUCAGCUGUGACAGCAUCGGACUGUGGCUAAAGAAGAUGGAGGGGAUGGAUGUCUGGGAUGGAUGGUGAUGAGUGGAGACUCCAGUUGUACAUUUGCUACGUGCUUUACGGUGCAACGUGGAGUUAACCAGAAAUCAUGGAG
This is a long non-coding RNA of Solea solea (common sole), 402 nucleotides long. RefSeq lists it as uncharacterized. The record is from RefSeq and is a predicted model, not a curated record. Lineage: Eukaryota; Metazoa; Chordata; Actinopteri; Pleuronectiformes; Soleidae. The transcript has 5 exons.